CGGGCCCGCCCCGGGUGCGGCGUGGUGGAAAAUGUUCGCCAGGGGUGGCAAAGAGGCAAUUGAGGAGUUUGCAUCAGCUCUGUGACCAUGGCAGCGGUGUCAGUGCUCAUGAGGAUCAGGAUACACACCCUCUGCUGACCUUGCCCUGCUGAGCUCGCAGGGACCUCCCAAAUCCCGAGGCUGAGUGAGGCAUCAGCAGCUCAAAAAGCAAUGGAACAAAAUGCAGCGAUGACAACUCAGCUCGGAUGUUAAGGAGAAUUUGGACAUUGCAAUUUUUACUGCAAUGGGCUGGAAUUGCAUGGUUGAAUAUUAGGAAAAUAUUAGGGAAAUUCUCUACUUUUCCAUGGCUAUAUCCUGAUUUUUCAGGGAUUUUCCCAGGGAUUGUUCUUUGCCCACUGGAUGCCGCUGUUCCACAGGAAUGUUGCCUCUAUGGAAUCCCUCCAGCACCUCUGUCAGCCACGGAAACCAUCCCAGGGUCAGGAUAUAUGGAUUUAUUAUGAGUUCAGAUGGAUUUUUAGAUGGAUAUUUAUAUGAAUUUUUUAUGGAUUUAUCCCUGUUAACCUGUUUUUUAUUUUCUCCCAAAAAAUUAAAAUUCCUUCAUAUUUUGCAAAC
This is a long non-coding RNA of Malurus melanocephalus (red-backed fairy wren), 612 nucleotides long. RefSeq lists it as uncharacterized. The record is from RefSeq and is a predicted model, not a curated record. Lineage: Eukaryota; Metazoa; Chordata; Aves; Passeriformes; Maluridae. The transcript is spliced from 3 exons.